RNAcentral lists this ribosomal RNA (696 nucleotides) under uncultured bacterium. RNAcentral describes it as "bacterial SSU rRNA". It matches the Rfam family "Bacterial small subunit ribosomal RNA", at positions 32 to 715 of the family's 1533-position model. The record is from RNAcentral.
AACGCUAGCUACAGGCUUAACACAUGCAAGUCGAGGGGAAACGACAUCGAAAGCUUGCUUUUGAUGGGCGUCGACCGGCGCACGGGUGAGUAACGCGUAUCCAACCUGCCCACCACUUGGGGAUAACCUUGCGAAAGUAAGACUAAUACCCAAUGACGUCUCUAGAAGACAUCUGAAAGAGAUUAAAGAUUUAUCGGUGAUGGAUGGGGAUGCGUCUGAUUAGCUUGUUGGCGGGGUAACGGCCCACCAAGGCGACGAUCAGUAGGGGUUCUGAGAGGAAGGUCCCCCACAUUGGAACUGAGACACGGUCCAAACUCCUACGGGAGGCAGCAGUGAGGAAUAUUGGUCAAUGGACGAGAGUCUGAACCAGCCAAGUAGCGUGCAGGAUGACGGCCCUAUGGGUUGUAAACUGCUUUUAUAAGGGAAUAAAGUGAGAGUCGUGACUCUUUUUGCAUGUACCUUAUGAAUAAGGACCGGCUAAUUCCGUGCCAGCAGCCGCGGUAAUACGGAAGGUCCGGGCGUUAUCCGGAUUUAUUGGGUUUAAAGGGAGCGUAGGCCGGAGAUUAAGCGUGUUGUGAAAUGUAGACGCUCAACGUCUGCACUGCAGCGCGAACUGGUUUCCUUGAGUACGCACAAAGUGGGCGGAAUUCGUGGUGUAGCGGUGAAAUGCUUAGAUAUCACGAAGAACUCCGAUUG